UGUAACUGAGGCAUGUGAUUUCUGCCCGAAAUGUCCCAGCGCUGGAUACAGUAGGCUAAAAUGCACUGAAUAUGUUGGCAUUUGGAAAUACCGAGCUCUACCCACAAUUUGCUUUGCAGUUACUUUUAAAAUUACUAAUACGGGGUGAAACCGCGGCGGUCUCGGCUGUUUCAUUGAGGUGACUACAGAGCCAUGAGGUCCUCAUCCUCGCGUUUAUCAAGUUUUUCCUCAAGGGAUUCUUUAUGGAGCCGGAUGCCGGAUCAGAUCUCCGUAUCCGAGUUUCUCUCGGAGACGACGGAGGAUUACAAUUCCCCCACGACUUCAAGCUUCACCACUCGCUUGCAGAGCUGUCGGAACACGGUCAGUGUUCUGGAGGAGGCUUUGGACCAGGACCGAACAGCUUUACAAAAGGUCAAGAAAUCCGUAAAAGCAAUCUACAACUCAGGUCAAGAGCAUUUGCAGAAUGAAGAGAAUUAUGGGCAGGCAUUGGACAAAUUUGGCAGCAACUUCAUUAGCCGAGAUAACUCUGAUCUGGGAACAGCCUUCAUCAAGUUCUCAAGCCUCAUCAAGGAGCUGGCUGCUCUGCUCAAGAACCUGCUUCAGAGUCUCAGCCACAAUGUCAUCUUCACUCUGGACUCUCUGCUCAAAGGAGAUCUGAAGGGAGUGAAGGGGGAUCUUAAAAAGCCUUUUGACAAGGCCUGGAAAGACUACGAGACCAAGUUCACAAAGAUUGAGAAAGAGAAAAGGGAACAUGCCAAGCAGCACGGUAUGAUCCGUACAGAGAUAACUGGUGCAGAGAUUGCAGAGGAGAUGGAGAAGGAACGACGAAUCUUUCAGCUGCAGAUGUGUGAGUACCUGAUUAAAGUGAACGAGAUAAAGACCAAGAAGGGAGUGGACCUCCUUCAGAAUCUCAUCAAGUAUUAUCAUGCGCAAUGCAAUUUUUUCCAGGAUGGCUUAAAAACCGCUGAUAAGUUGAAGCAGUAUAUCGAGAAGUUAGCUGCUGAUCUCUAUAAUAUAAAACAGACUCAAGAUGAGGAGAAAAAACAGCUGACUGCUCUUAGAGAUCUCAUCAAGUCAUCCUUACAACUGGAACAGAAAGAGGAUUCUCAGAGCAAGCAGAGUGGCUACAGUAUGCACCAGCUGCAGGGCAAUAAGGAGUUUGGCAGUGAGAAGAAGGGCUAUCUCUUUAAGAAGAGUGAUGGGAUCCGUAAGGUGUGGCAGAGGAGGAAGUGCUCUGUGAAGAAUGGCAUCCUCACCAUCUCUCAUGCCACAUCCAACAGGCAGCCAGUGAGACUGAAUCUGCUAACCUGCCAGGUUAAACCCAGCGGAGAGGAUAAGAAGUGCUUUGACCUCAUCUCCCAUAAUCGAACAUAUCAUUUCCAGGCAGAGGAUGAACAGGAGUUUGUGAUAUGGAUCUCAGUGCUGACUAACAGUAAGGAGGAGGCUCUGAACAUGGCAUUCCGUGGCGAGCAGAGUGCUGGAGAUGACAGUUUGGAAGACUUGACCAAAGCCAUCAUCGAAGACGUGCUACGCAUGCCUGGGAAUGAAGCCUGCUGUGACUGUGGCGCGCCAGAUCCUAAAUGGUUAUCCACUAACCUCGGCAUCCUGACAUGCAUCGAGUGUUCAGGGAUCCACAGGGAAAUGGGAGUCCAUAUUUCACGCAUCCAGUCCAUGGAACUUGACAAACUAGGCACUUCUGAACUCUUGCUGGCUAAGAAUGUGGGUAAUAGUAGUUUUAAUGAAAUAUUGGAAGGGAAUCUGCCGAGUCCAUCACCAAAGCCAACACCAUCAAGUGACAUGACAGAGAGAAAGGAGUACAUAAAUGCGAAGUAUGUGGAGCACAGGUUUGCUCGCCGGACAGCCACUACAGCAACGGCCAGACAGGGUGAUCUAUAUGAAGCCGUGAGGACUCGAGACCUGAUGUCCCUUAUUCAGCUGUACGCUGAUGGAGUGGAACUCAUGGAUCAAUUUCCAGAAGCUGGACAGGACCCGGGAGAAACUGCGUUGCACUUUGCUGUGCGGACAUCUGACCAGACCGCACUGCAUCUGGUGGACUUUCUUGUCCAAAAUAGUGGAACUCCAGACAGACAGACGGAUAGUGGAAACGCUGCUCUGCAUUACUGCUGCACAUAUGAGAAGCCAGAGUGUCUCAAACUGCUGCUCAGGGGAAAGCCAUCUAUUGACCUAGUAAAUCAAAAUGGGGAGACAGCCUUGGACAUUGCCAGGCGACUGAAAAAUGCACAGUGUGAAGAGCUGCUGGUGGAGGCCGCAGCCGGAAGGUUUAAUCCUCAUGUUCAUGUGGAGUAUGAGUGGAAUCUGCGGCUGGAGGAGGUUGAUGAGAGUGACGAUGACCUAGAUGACAAGCCCAGUCCAGUGAAGAAGGAGCGUUCUCCGCGACCUCAGAGCUUCUGUCAUUCCUCCAAUGUGUCUCCUCAGGAUAAGCUGUCUCUGCCAGGGUAUUUAGGACACAGGGACAAGCAGAGACUUUCCUACGGAGCUUUUGCCAACCCAGUCUACAACACCUCCACCGACACACCCGCAUCUCCUGUAUCGGAGGGCCCUACAAUAGCUAGCAAGACCAUUGCAAAAGCUCCAUCCUCUGGACCACCCACCUCCCUGCCACUGGGAUCUCAGUCAAGUGUAGGAGGCAGCUCCACACUAUCUAAGAAGAGAGCGCCUCCUCCACCGCCCGGACACAAGCGCACCCUCUCAGAUCCCCCAAGCCCUAUACUGCAGGGCCCCCAUAGCAAAGGAAGUGAGUCCACACCUCCUUCUGCAAACUGGACAUCCCCUGCUAAUAAGUUUGAGGGAAUUCAGCAGCAGCAAAGCACUACAUCUAUGAACGCAAAAGCAACAUUUGGCCCACGAGUUCUUCCAAAACUACCACAAAAGGUGGCACUACGAAAGAUUGACACAAUCCACCUCCCCUCUGUGGACAAGUUUAGUCAGGGCACUGAUGUGCUGCAGAAACCCCCACAGGCCCAGGACACGCCCUCAACCAGAGCUUCAGAUCCAAUAACUAGACCCACAGAGCCUCCGCCUAAAAUACCACAACCCGCAGAACGGUCCCAGCCUCUUGAGGUGCCUCAGAAACCGCACGUCUCAGACCUUCCCCCUAAACCACAAUUAUCUGAUCUUCCCCCAAAACCACACUUGUCAGAUUUACCUCCAAAACCUCAGCUCUCUGACUUACCACCGAAACCACAGCUUAAGGAUCUUCCCCCUAAGCCACAGCUCUCAGACCUCGCAUCCAAGCCUUCAUUGUCUUCAGCAACUGAGCCCACACAGAGGCAACCAACACAGGAAGAAAUAAGUCCAAAGCCCGAGCUGACAGAGGGACAGUCAUUCAAUCAGCAGGAGGAGCUUUCUCCCAGACAGGCCAGUGAGGACACAAAUGGUGCACCUGCAGGAGCUAUGGAGAUGCCAGUCCCUAUGCCACGCAAAAUCAACACAGUACUUGGGGCAUCCAUCCAUCCAUCCAUCCAUCCAAUAUAUGAUAGAACUGAGGAACGUGUCUUUGCAGGGAAAAAACAAAGUCAGGCGUGUGAAAACCAUCUACGAUUGCCAAGCAGAUAAUGAUGAUGAGUUGACCUUUGUGGAGGGAGAAGUUAUAAUUGUUACAGGAGAGGAGGACCAUGAGUGGUGGAUUGGGCAUAUAGAAGGGCAACCCGACAGGAAAGGGGUCUUCCCAAUGUCCUUCGUACACAUUCUGUUAGACUGACAGAAUAUAACGGCAGGCGUGAAGCUCUCUAACUAGCACAAGCUCUGUCUCUCUGGCCUCACACUGGACUGUGGGCAUUGCCUCUGUAAAUAGAUGCUGAAACCCAAUCAGAGUCUUCAGACAAACAAAACAUGAAGUAUCAAACCCAUGCUCCCUUAAUCCUCAAGGGUGAAAUGUGUAAACUAUGUGUUGUUCAUAAACUGUGUUAUCCUGCCUACCAGUAUUAUCGUAGCCAUGGCAACCCAGCAUGCCAAACUGGGUUUGCAGUAGCUAUACUUGGAAUCUAGCACUUAACAUGUAUGCUGUAACUUUGUGUAUGUGUACACAUAUAGAAUUAUAUGUAUGUCCAUUUUAAUUUUAAUUUUUUACAUACAUAUGCACAGAUGUAAGUGUAUAUUUAUGUAUGUAUAAUGUAUCAGUGUGCAAAUGUAUGUUAUCCCUGCUUGCUUAUGGAGCCAGAGUGACUCUAGACAUGUUAGUGUACUGUUUUAAAAAAAACAAAUCAUCUCUUCAACUUUUAGGAGUAAAUGAUGAUAAGAGCAAAAUACAAUAAAGUUACAUAAAUACUAUAUCAGUCCCAGCAUAGUGGCAUGCUGAUCAGGGGUCAUAAUCAAAAUGUAAAGGUUUUAAGCGUCUCAUCUCCAAUAAAUACACAAUCAAAAUAUGUAUUCAUUCAGGUUGCAUUGCUUUUCAUUUUGGUGUGACAUGAAAAAAUGGAAAUCGUCUUGGUUACUCACAUAACCUUGGUUCCCCUAAAGCAGGGACUAGACACUGCAUCAGAAGCAAACACUAUGGGAGAAUUCAUCCGGGGUCGAGACUUUGAAACCAUAUACCAUCUAGCCAAUUCGAGUGCAUGUAAAGCUUAGCACUCUGCCUAUGUGGACGACAUCUUGAGCCGUAUACCAUAACAGCAUAGUACUGAUGUGCAAUGCCUUCUAGCAUUAUAGGGUAGUCAAAAGCAUUGCUGUAGCCACACCUUCAUAUUGAGAAAUAAUAGGUGGGGGCAAUAAACCAACAGCUUGAUGCUAAGACAGAGACACUGUGCUGUCUGUACAAGUCAGGACAUGAAGCUUUGGUGUCUGACCAACAGGAUCUAAGAGCCUGGCAAUUUAUGUGCCACACAGUUUGUGCACUUUUCCAGGUGCCAAAUGCCAGACAUCCUAGCACAGGGCUCCCCAGUCUGUUGUGACAAAUUUGCAUCUGGCCAGCUUGGCAAAUAUCACACUUUUCCAAUAAAACUCGGUUUUCCUCAAUAAUGUGUCACUAUGAGGCAAAGGUGACCAUGUUGCCAAGUCUGUUGAAGGACCCUUGGGCUGAGCCAGCACUGGAGAGUUCUAAUCUGUAGCAAGCCUAGCAGGGCUAUGGUGGCUGCAGCGGCUAUCAAGCCAAACACUUGCUGUUACUGACGCAUUCAAGUGUGGGAGAAUGGAAUGAACACAUUUUUGGUCUGGUGCCAACAUGUUUACCAAGUUGAGUUUCAUUCCUAGGAAGGAAACUAGUUAACUGGGCACACAUUUCCAGUUACCAUUGAGUUUCCAAUGAGCUAGCAACAGGUCUCUGUGCUUGCACGCUUGUACCAUGGAUUAAGCUAUCAGCAACCAGUCGUUGAGGUAACAUGAAAUCAGCUCCCCAAUCCAAUUUAGUGGACAGACAUGAGACACUUCUCUGAGUUACUUCCUUGAAUGGAGACUUUUAAGUGUCCAAUUCAUGUGCCUCAAUUCCAGUAUGGGCCCCAGUCCACCGUUUUACUUGGCAACCAGAAAAUGAAUGGCUUUAGAAGCCGUUCUUUCCCUCGCAUGCCGUACUUCUAUCAAAUCUUUGGCGUGGAGGUAUUGUACAUCUGAGUGUAAAAUCUGCAAAUCCCGCACUGUGCUGUGUAGGGCAGAAUGCCAUUGAAGUGAGGGGUCACUUUACGUAGCAUGUGGCCAUGUUUGACUGUGAUCAGUCUGUAGUCGCUGGUGGCUGAAUGACACUAUCCAUCUGGGUGGCAGUCGCUCAGUGCAACAGAGUCUUCUCAGCUGGAUUUUGCUCACUUUAACGUGAGCAAAAGGGGUCUGUCAGUCGUGCUGGGGCAUGGCAAAGUUCUGGCAUACUAAACAGCAAAGACUGAAAGCGAGAAGAGUAUUUCUGACAAUUUUAGCCAGGGGUGUCAUUCUUCUGACACCAGGUCACCCAUAGUCCUGCCAAUUUCCUGGGCGGAGAUCAUGGAGUCUGGGGUGCUAAUUUGUGGCAUGGUUUUAGCAAGCACCACAAAGGCAGCUGCACUAGAUACGUCAAGUCAAAACGUGCCAUUCUUGACAUUGUUUUAUUUAAUGACAGGACUAUUUCCUUGCCAAAACAAAAAGAAGAGUGGACUGAACUUGUUGUAGCAGGAGAGGCUUGCUUUAUCUCGGUCAAGUGUGCUGACACGCUUUAGAAGGAAAGACUGGGCACCAACACACUCUUUAUCCAGUUGCCCCUGAUUUUAAUGGUCAAGUAAAAACCUCAAGCAACUCAGUUUCUUAUAAUUAAGGUAGAAAUAAAAAGGUCUCAGCACAAGGAUCAUCUCUGCUCCAUGAACAAGACAAAAACAACUUAAAUAUUGUGGAAUAGAGUUACAAAUGCACCAUUCCUGGACUGUCUUGUUUAGACUAGAGGCCUGCACAGGACUGUUGUUUUCAUCAUGCUCCCGCAAGUUUCUAUCCCGCAAUUUCCCACUGAAUUUAACUCCAUGUUCACCCUCUCUCUGCCCACAGUGAUUUUCUUCCCGACUGCUCCCGUUCCUGCAACCUCGCAUUUGUUUUCCACAUAUAUCAAAAGCCAUACAAAUAGACAACAAGCAUAUACAAAGAAUCAAUUUUUUUUUUCUGUUAUUACAAUUAUCAGAUGACAUGUGAAAAUGCCAAUUUGACUCGCCUGAAGUUGGUUUCUUAACACUACAUUUUAUAGUUCGAGUUUCACAUGCUUUGAUAACACAGUGUGCAUUUUGAUCUGCCAAUCUAUGAAAGCCCUGUUGACUACCUGCAUGGCUGCCUACUCUAAAUAUUGGAUAAUUUAAUACACAAACUGUGUGCAUUUAUUUUACAUUAUAAAAAAAACAACUAUUAUUGUUUUUUCUUUGUUUUUUGUUUUGUUUUAUGUAUUCAUUAACUAAUCAUAGAAUAAAAAAAGAGAUCCACGUCGGAUGUUUCAGGCUAUUCUCUGACCGCCGCUUCCGUCCACAUGUAAUGUAAGUACCGUCCGCUCCCACCUUCAACUCUGAAAUGUAAUCUAGCCCUACAAGAAAUCUAAUCGGGUCCCGCGGAUCCUGCGGGAGUUCCACAGUAAUGCAGAACUCUAGUUUAGACCCCUCUGAUAAGACCACCGUUGGACUAAGUGUAUGUUCAAUCAAGCACAACUCCAGCUGAUGGAUUCCUUUGUAGUAUUGUAACAUAUCAGUUGAUGUUUUAAAACAGGCAAAUGGCCAUAUUUAAGUGAAUAAACUGGAUUCAGACCUAAUGUCACAUUUAGGAUGUGUUUUGCCACUCUCUCAUACCUUGUUUUUUAAUUUUUGUCUGUUUGCUGCACUGUAAAUUCAGUCAGAAAGAAAUCCACACUUGGUUAUCAAGUUCAAAAUCUUAAAUCAGAAUAAAGAUGUA
Molecule: RNA transcript, 7338 nt
Organism: Xyrauchen texanus (razorback sucker)
Lineage: Eukaryota; Metazoa; Chordata; Actinopteri; Cypriniformes; Catostomidae
Gene name: arf-GAP with SH3 domain, ANK repeat and PH domain-containing protein 1-like
Exons: 30
Source: RefSeq, a predicted model, not a curated record